GGCCAAACCUGUGAUGGUACCACUAGACUUGAUGUAGUCAUUCUGGAUAACAGGGAAUUCUGCUUGAUGAUUAGGGCUGGUUAGCAUUCUUGAAGCAGAGAUGAAAGCAUUUUGAAGAAUGUCCAACCAGGAGAAGCAUGUGGAGAAACUGGAGAUAGAGCAUCGAGCAGCAAUCAUAUUUUGCUUAAGGAAGUUCACUGCAUACACUUGUUCCCAAGGCAUAACAGCACAUAUUAUUUGAUGAACAUGCUGGAGAGGAAACAUGAAUCUUUGAGUACGGGGUUGGAGAGGAGCAAUCCUAGCAGUUCCCGACCUGUACCUUUCCAAGUUGGUGUCAUAUGAUCACGAGAGUCUCCCAGAAGCUGAAAUCCUCAGAAAGAACUGCAGCUGGUACUUAGAGUCUUCCAGCCCACAGUGGAAUCUCCCCACCACCUGUCUCCCUUGUUUCUCCCACUCUGUGCACCGUCCCUCUACUUGGAGUCUCCACCGUGAGUAUGCUGCUUAAAUAGAUAGAACUAGUAUCUAUGUGUGGGCAUUGCUGGUAGAAUUUCUCCUAUAACCUAAGAA
RNAcentral lists this long non-coding RNA (567 nucleotides) under Capra hircus (goat). RNAcentral's name for it is "lncRNA (ENSCHIG00000007013.1)". The record is from RNAcentral. Lineage: Eukaryota; Metazoa; Chordata; Mammalia; Artiodactyla; Bovidae.